AGGAUCAUUACUGAGUGAGGGUCCCUCGGGGCCCAACCUCCCACCCGUGUAUACCGUACCUUGUUGCUUCGGCGAGCCCGCCCCCUUUUUCUUAGGGGGGCACAGCGCUCGCCGGAGACACCAACGUGAACACUGUCUGAAGUUUUGUCGUCUGAGUCGAUUGUAUCGCAAUCAGUUAAAACUUUCAACAAUGGAUCUCUUGGUUCCGGCAUCGAUGAAGAACGCAGCGAAAUGCGAUAAUUAAUGUGAAUUGCAGAAUUCAGUGAAUCAUCGAGUCUUUGAACGCACAUUGCACCCCCUGGUAUUCCGGGGGGUAUGCCUGUCCGAGCGUCAUUGCUGCCCUCAAGCACGGCUUGUGUGUUGGGUCGUCGUCCCCCCCGGGGGACGGGCCCGAAAGGCAGCGGCGGCACCGCGUCCGGUCCUCGAGCGUAUGGGGCUUUGUCACACCGCUCUUGUAGGCCCGGCCGGCUGCUGGCCGACGCUGAAAAGCAACCAACUAUUUCUCCAGGUUGACCUCGGAUCAGGUAGGGAUACCCGCUGAACUUAAGCAUAUCAAUAAGCGGAGGAAAAGAAACCAACCGGGAUUGCCUCAGUAACGGCGAGUGAAGCGGCAAGAGCUCAAAUUUGAAAUCUGGCCCCCUCGGGGUCCGAGUUGUAAUUUGCAGAGGAUGCUUCGGGUGCGGCCCCCGUCUAAGUGCCCUGGAACGGGCCGUCAUAGAGGGUGAGAAUCCCGUCUGGGACGGGGUGUCCGC
RNAcentral lists this ribosomal RNA (752 nucleotides) under Aspergillus pallidofulvus. RNAcentral's name for it is "partial 18S ribosomal RNA". The stretch from base 511 to 752 matches the Rfam family "Eukaryotic large subunit ribosomal RNA", at positions 1 to 239 of the family's 3401-position model. Lineage: Eukaryota; Fungi; Ascomycota; Eurotiomycetes; Eurotiales; Aspergillaceae. The record is from RNAcentral.